This 468-nucleotide ribosomal RNA is filed under the name uncultured bacterium. RNAcentral's name for it is "partial 16S ribosomal RNA". It matches the Rfam family "Bacterial small subunit ribosomal RNA", at positions 28 to 507 of the family's 1533-position model. The record is from RNAcentral.
GACGAACACUGGCGGCGUGCUUAACACAUGCAAGUCGAACGGAAAUGCCCUGCUUUUGUGUGGUGCUCGAGUGGGGAACGGGUGAGUAACACGUGAGUAACCUCCCCUUGACUUUGGGAUAACUUCAGGAAACUGGGGCUAAUACCGCACAGGAGCCCCUGUGGCAUGGUGGUGGUUGGAAAGUUUCGGCGGUUGGGGCUGGGCUCGCGGCUUAUCAGUUUGUUGGUGGGGUAGUGGCUUUCCAAGGCUUUGACGGGUAGCUGGCCUGAGAGGGUGACCGGCCACAUUGGGACUGAGAUACGGCCCAGACUCCUACGGGAGGCAGCAGUGGGGAAUAUUGCACAAUGGGCGGAAGCCUGAUGCAGCAACGCCGCGUGCGGGAUGACGGCCUUCGGGUUGUAAACCGCUUUCGCCUGUGACGAAGCGUGAGUGACGGUAAUGGAUAAAGAAGCACCGGCUAACUACGUG